RNAcentral lists this long non-coding RNA (1842 nucleotides) under Podarcis muralis (Common wall lizard). Its description in RNAcentral is "lncRNA (ENSPMRG00000022170.1)". Lineage: Eukaryota; Metazoa; Chordata; Lepidosauria; Squamata; Lacertidae. The record is from RNAcentral.
AUGUCUUCUAAGGUUUCCACUAUGUCUGAAGCUCUUUCCACAUUCAAUGCAUUGAAAUGGUUUCUCCCCCAUGUGAGUUCGUUGAUGGAUUCUAAGGGCUCCAUUUUGACUGAAGCCCUUUCCACAUUCAAUGCAUUUAAAUGGUUUCUCUGCCGUAUGAGUUCGUUGAUGUCUUCUAAGGUUUCCAGUACAACUGAAGCUCUUUCCACAUUCAAUACAUUUACAUGGUUUCUCCGCUGUGUGAGUUCGUUGAUGCAUUCGAAGGUCGUCACUACGAAUGAAGCUAUUUCCACAUUCAAUGCAUUUAAAUGGUUUCUCCCCCGUAUGAGUUCGUUGAUGUCUCCUAAGGUUUCCACUUUGACUGAAGCUAUUACCACAUUCAAUGCAUUUAAAUUGUUUCUCUACCGUAUGAGUUCGUUGAUGUAUUCUAAGGACUCCACUACGACUGAAGCUCUUUCCACAUUCAAUGCAUUUAAAUGGUUUCUCUCUUGUGUGAGUUCGUUGGUGUAUUCUAAGGUUUCUACUGUCACUGAAGCUCUUUCCACAUUCCAUACAUUCAAACGGUUUCUCCCCUGUGUGAGUUCGUUGAUGGAUUCUAAGGGCUCCAUUUUGACUGAAGACCUUUCCACAUUCAAUGCAUUUAAAUGGUUUCUCCCCAGUGUGUGUUUGUUGAUGUAUUCUAAGGUUUCCAGUACAACUGAAGCUCUUUCCACAUUCAAUACAUUUAAAUGGUUUCUCCCCUGUGUGAGUUCGUUGAUGGAUUCUAAGAUUUCUACUUUCACUGAAGUUCUUUCCACAUUCAAUACAUUUAAAUGGUUUCUCCCCUGUGUGAAUUCGUUGAUGUAUUCUAAGGUUUCUACUUUCACUGAAACUACUUCCACAUUCAAUACAUUUAAAAGGUUUCUCCCCUGUGUGAGUUCGUUGAUGGAUUCUAAGGCUUCUACUUUCACUGAAGCUCUUUCCACAUUCCAUACAUUCAAACGGUUUCUCCCCUGUGUGAGUUCGUUGAUGGAUUCUAAGGCUUCUACUUUCACUGAAGCUCUUUCCACAUUCCAUACAUUCAAACGGUUUCUCCCCUGUGUGAGUUCGUUGAUGGAUUCUAAGGGCUCCAUUUUGACUGAAGCCCUUUCCACAUUCAAUGCAUUUAAAUGGUUUCUCCCCUGUAUGAGUUCGUUGAUGUAUUCUAAGGGCUCCACUUUGACUGAAGCUCUUUCCACAUUCAAUGCAUUUAAAUUGUUUCUCUUCUGUAUGAGUUUGUUGAUGUAUUCUAAGGACUCCACUAAGUCUGAAGCUCUUUCCACAUUCAAUGCAUUUAAAUGGUUUCUCUCCCAUGUGAGUUUGUUGAUGUCUUCUAAGGUUUCUACUUUCACUGAAGCGCUUUCCACAUUCCAUACAUUCAAACGGUUUCUCCCCUGUGUGAGUUUGUUGAUGUGUUCUAAGGGCUCCACUACGACUGAAGCUCUGUUCACAUUCAAUGCAUUUAAAUGGUUUCUCCCCCGUGUGAGUUCGUUGAUGUCUUCUAAGGUGACCACUUUCACUGAAGCUCCUUCCACAUUCAAUGCAUUUAAAUGGUUUCUCCCCCGUGUGAGUUCGUUGAUGUCUUCUAAGGCCUCCACUUGCACUGAAGCUCUUUCCACACUCCAUACAUUCAAACGGUAUUUCCCCCAUGUGAGUUCGUUGAUGUUUUCUAAGGUUUCCACUUUGACUGAAGCUCCUUCCACACUCCAUACAUUCAAAUGGUUUCUCUCCUGUGUGAGUUUGUUGGUGUAUCCUCAUUCUUCCACAGUGACUAAAGCACAUUCCACAUUCCCUGCAUUUAAACUGUUUCUUUGUUCUCCCUAA